RNAcentral lists this small RNA (76 nucleotides) under Pan troglodytes (chimpanzee). RNAcentral's name for it is "retained intron". Lineage: Eukaryota; Metazoa; Chordata; Mammalia; Primates; Hominidae. The record is from RNAcentral.
AGCAUGGGGGUCCCGCGGCCUCAGCCCUGGGCGCUGGGGCUCCUGCUCUUUCUCCUUCCUGGGAGCCUGGGCGCAG